Molecule: long non-coding RNA, 717 nt
Organism: Lotus japonicus
Lineage: Eukaryota; Viridiplantae; Streptophyta; Magnoliopsida; Fabales; Fabaceae
Exons: 2
Source: RefSeq, a predicted model, not a curated record
UAAUAAUUAUAUACUGAAAGUUAAUCUCAGCUGAAAAAUUAAUCUCAUGGUUGAAAUUAAAUAGUCUUCUUCAAACAGAAACCCAAGUAACACUCAUUCUUCCUUGUCUGUCGUGAGAGAAGCUCUGUUCCAAUCAACAAUAACUGGUUCUCCUCUCACCGGGCUUCGUUUGGUUCAUCACCCUUAAGGAUCACCACGCCUUUGCCGGCGACGAGAAAAAACCCUUCGCCGCUGCCUUUCCGACGUCCCCACCCACCGGCGAUUUCGUUGCAGGUCCUCUGCAGAUUAGAUUUGUACUGCAUCUUUAUUCAAAAUCUGGGUCAUUAUUUCUAAUGGGUUGCUGGGGUCGUUGGGGAAAUUGUUGAUCUGAUAUGGUGAGGUGAUCUCAAAGGAUAUCAAUAGAAAACAGUGGUGGUUUUGUUUCCUCAGGUGGUGAGAAUUGAUGGUGAUCCAAAAACCAAACGCAUAUCACAAAUUGAAGCAGAGGAAAUAGCUGUUCAGAAGCAGUUGUGCACAGUUAGAUGCAUCCAAGGGAUGUCAUUUAAUGUAUAUUAUAAUUUUAGGAGUAAAAUUUUACGGACCAUAAGAUGAAUCUGACGGAUUAUAGCACUGCAGGAGGGGCUGCACAUAAAUUUCUGUAGGAGAGGAUCCAAAUUCCUUGACAUGACAUCAAGUCUCUAUGAGCAAGCAGAAUUGAAAUCUUAUUUAAUUGUGUUU